AUGACAGCAGGGUGGUCAGGAAUCAACAAUGGCUCUCUCCGGGUACCGGCUGGAUCUGUCAAAGUUAAUGUUGAUGGAGCAGUAGCGCGAAGCAGAAGGGGCGGAGCUGUGGCUGCAUUAUGUCGAGAUGAGAAGGGCAACUACCUGGGGUCCUCGGCAGUGGUCUAUGGAGGUAUCACUGAUCCCACGGUCUUGGAAACCUUUGCUUGCAGAGAGGGACUAGCUUUGGCUGAAGAUCUAAAUGUUCAUGAGGUGGUUCUGGCUUCAGAUUGUGAAGGAGUUGUCAAUGACAUCAAUGGUGGAACAAGUGGACCGAAUGCAGCAAUCAUACAUGAAAUAUCAGCUCGUAGUUCUGGUUUUGCUUUCUGCAAGUUUAUUUUUAAGCAUAGAAACUUUAAUUUUGAGGCUCAUAAUCUCGCAAAGUAUGCAUUUAAUUUAGGCAUAGGUACCUAUGAACAUCUCUCUGAAUCAAUAAAGCUUGCGAGAUCUCUCAAAAAAAAGCUCGUCUUUAGCACCAUGGCCGACGAUGUUGUUGCGCCAGACUUUUCGGUGACCUAA
RNAcentral lists this ribosomal RNA (558 nucleotides) under Triticum aestivum (bread wheat). RNAcentral describes it as "partial small subunit ribosomal RNA". The record is from RNAcentral. Lineage: Eukaryota; Viridiplantae; Streptophyta; Magnoliopsida; Poales; Poaceae.